RNAcentral lists this ribosomal RNA (2007 nucleotides) under Oxymonas sp. RNAcentral describes it as "SSU rRNA". It matches the Rfam family "Eukaryotic small subunit ribosomal RNA". The record is from RNAcentral. Lineage: Eukaryota; Preaxostyla; Oxymonadida; Oxymonadidae.
AGAUUAAGCCAUGCAUGUCUCAGUAUAAGCAACUUGUAUGUGUGAAACUGCGAAUGGCUCAUUAAAUCAGUCAUAAUUUAUUUGAUAGUGAUUUACUACAUGGAUAGCCGUAGUAAUUCUAGAGCUAAUACAUGCAUAAAGGCCCGACUCGCGAGGGAAGGGUUGUGUUUAUUAGAUCGAAAACCAAUGUUGGGGAAGGGGUUUUAACCGGCUUCUUUUCCAAAUUUUUUUGGUGAGUCAUGAUAAAUGUCGAAUCGAACUUUUGUUCGAUGUGUCAUUCAAAUUUCUGCCCUAUCAGACUUUGAUGGUAGGAUAGGGGCCUACCAUGGUAUUGACGGGUAAUGGAGGAUUAGGGUUCGAUUCCGGAGAGGGAGCCUGAGAAAUGGCUACUACUUCUAAGGAAGGCAGCAGGCGCGCAAAUUACCCAAUCCCAAUUAUAUUGGGGAGGUAGUGACAAAAAAUAUCGAUGCUCGGGGCUAUGCCUCGGUAAUUGAAAUGGUUUGGAAGUAAAUUGUCCAUGGAGCAGCCGUUAGAGGGCAAGUCUGGUGCCAGCAGCCGCGGUAAUUCCAGCUCUAAUAGUGUAUACUAAAAUUGCUGCAGUUAAAAAGCUCGUAGUUGGAUUUUGGGUGGAGCAGUAUACCGUUAUGUGCUGAUAGUGUUGUUGUAUGCCUGCCUGUUUCUGAAGGGGGUAUGCGACGUGCUUUUAGUCAUAAUGGUUGUUCCGUCCGUUUUUUUUAUAAAAUAUUUUCGAAAUUGGCUCAUCCCCUUCAUUGGGCUUGAUGGGUCAAGUUCGGAUUUUUUACUUUGAAGAAUUUGUAGUGUUUAAAGCAGGCGUUUCGCAGCUGAACACAUUAGCAUGGAAUAAUAAAAUAGGACAUCUGAGCGUUGUUUCCUACCUGUUUUUUCCCUUUCUAUUCUUUUUGGGGGGAAAGGUUUGAGGGUGAGGGUUAUGCUCUCUUUUCGGGGAGUGUUUCUCUUCCUUUUUCUUUUUUCCUCCAUGGAUUCUGAGGGAGGGCGGGAUUGAAGGGCUUCGCUAUCAUUUUUAGUAUAUCUAUUUUGUCGGUUUUUGGAGAGGGUGUAAUGAUUAAUAGGGACAGUUGGGGGCAUCCGUAUUGCAUUGUCAGAGGUGAAAUUCUUGGAUUUAUGCAAGACGAACUAAUGCGAAAGCAUUUGCCAAGGAUGUUUUCAUUAAUCAAGAACGAAAGUUAGGGGAUCGAAGGCGAUCAGAAACCGCCGUAGUCUUAACUAUAAACUAUACCAACUAGGGAUUGGGGAGUGUCUAAAUAAACGGCCUCGUCAGCACCUUUAGAGAAAUCACAAGUCUCUGGGUUCUGGGGGGAGUAUGGUCGCAAGGCUGAAACUUAAAGAAAUUGACGGAAGGGCACCACCAGGUGUGGAGCCUGCGGCUUAAUUCGACUCAACACGGGGAAACUCACCAGGUCCAGACACGGGAAGGAUUGACAGAUUGAUAGCUCUUUCUUGAUUCUGUGGGUGGUGGUGCAUGGUCGUUCUUAGUUGGUGGAGUGAUUUGUCUGGUUAAUUCCGAUAACGAACGAGACCUUAACCUGCCAAAUAGCUCAGUGAUAAGAAUUACUUUUAUCACUUUUUUACAUGAGCCUCUUGGAGGGACUACCAUGGUUGCACAUGGUGGAAGCUUGAGGCAAUAACAGGUCUGUGAUGCCCUUAGAUGUCCUGGGCCGCACGCGCGCUACAAUGAUGCAUUCAGCAAGCUUUUUUACUAGCUUGCGCGAAAGCGUCGGCCAAUCUUGUGAAAAUGCAUCGUGCCUGGGGAUUGAUCCUUGUAAUUUUCGAUCGUGAACCAGGAAUACCUAGUAAGUGCGGCUCAUCACGCCGCGCUGAUUACGUCCCUGCCCUUUGUACACACCGCCCGUCGCUCCUACCGAUUGAAUGAUCCGACGAAACGCCCGGAGGGGUGUGGGGUGGGCAACCAUCCUUCGUCCUGAAGGGUAGUGAAUCUUAUCAUUUAGAGGAAGGAGAAGUCGUAAC